This is a long non-coding RNA of Sapajus apella (tufted capuchin), 1144 nucleotides long. RefSeq lists it as uncharacterized. The record is from RefSeq and is a predicted model, not a curated record. The transcript is spliced from 2 exons. Lineage: Eukaryota; Metazoa; Chordata; Mammalia; Primates; Cebidae.
UUUGUUUAAAACUUUAAUGAUUUAGCCAAUAGCAAACUUUGACCAAAGUAAAUGCAGAAAGUUUUAAAAAACACUCUUUGUUUAUUCAGGACAUAGUGUCUUCAGUUUAAUUGUCUUGAAAUAUACUCUUUGUUCUAGAUUAUUUAAGAAAAUAAAAUCCAUCGAUUUAUAGAAUAAUUAUGAUGACUUAUAUCAUUUGGACCACGAUAUAGAUUUCAUAGAUAGUACUCUUUUCAUGCAUGCCCUCUGGAUUAUGAGGGCGGGUGGAGGGACAUAGCAGGAACAGAAUGUUUUCUAAGGUUUUUAACACUAACUUGAUUUGUCAGUACUUUAAAAAUAUUUGUUGACCACAAUUGCAUGCAAACUUAACAAUUUUAUUUCUAAUAAUUUUCCUCCCAUAAUUGGAAGAUUAAAAUCUCAGGUUUUUUGUUUUCCUUUGUUGUUUUUCAUACAUUCACUGGGCUGGUGAAUUACCAACUAGCAUAGAGAAGUUGUACAUUUGUUUAAAUAAGAUCAGUUUAGUUGUCAUCCUUAAAGAGCUAUCAGCCAAAAUAUGUCUUUCUUUACACAAAGUUAUGUCCCUUAAAUAUUAAAACCAUAAAAACAGAAUGUUUAGAUUAUUAACAUAAUCUGCAAAAUUAGAGAGCUGUACUGAAUAUAGUAGCAGCUGCCAUUUGCUGAGCCUUUUGCUGUGCCUUUUGCUGUUGUAUUGCCUAUUGCUAUUGCAGACUGUGCCUGGCAGUCUGCUAUGCAUUUUACAUGGAGUAUCUCAUUUAACUGUCUGAAAAAUCGAUGAAGUACCUACUUUAUUUUCUCCAUUUUACUGAUAAGAAAACUGAAACUCAGUAAAAGGUGAAUUUAACUAAGAGAGAUAGCAGAAUCUAGCUCUGUAUGAUGCCAGAGCCCAUGUUUAUCACAGUGCUAAACUGCCUCCCUGGGUGACUUACAAGGAUUCUUCCAGGUCUAUGAUUCUGUCUCAUAGUCAUUUAGGAAUGUCAGUUGUAGUUUAUCAAACCCAAAUGGCAUCAAAAAUUAUAAUGAGUUAAAAAAAAGAAAUGUUACUGACUAAAACAGAUCUCAGCACCAGCGGUUCAAAUGUAAAGCUCUAGUGUAAUAACAACAUGAUCCCUUGAAGUUUUCCCAU